This 71-nucleotide transfer RNA is filed under the name Camelus bactrianus (Bactrian camel). It matches the Rfam family "tRNA". From Rfam's summary of the family: Transfer RNA (tRNA) molecules are approximately 80 nucleotides in length. Their secondary structure includes four short double-helical elements and three loops (D, anti-codon, and T loops). Lineage: Eukaryota; Metazoa; Chordata; Mammalia; Artiodactyla; Camelidae. RNAcentral also lists the same sequence under 2 other names. The record is from Rfam by way of RNAcentral.
GAGGGUGUAACUCAGGGGUAGAGUGUGUGUUUAGCAUGCACCAGGUCCUGGGUUCAAUCCCCAGUCCCUCU